AAAGCUGUGAAUCAGAACUUUUUGUUACUAAUUUGUGAUAAUCGUUGAGAAAAACAGAGUUUUUUGGAGAUUGAAGGCUUCGGUUCACAAAAUCAGGUAAGAAGUUUGGGUUUUUUUUUUUUCCGCCAUUUGAUUUAUUUCACGGCAUAUUUUGAACAUAAUGAGAUCAAUAAUUAGGGUUUUUAAUCUUUGUUGUGGCUAGUAUGAUUUAAAAUUUUCAAUUUUACGUAAUCUGGUCAAUUACAGCAUGAAAUUUGAGAUGAACACUGAGAUGUCUGCGGAACCAAAAUUCC
RNAcentral lists this long non-coding RNA (293 nucleotides) under Amborella trichopoda. RNAcentral's name for it is "long non-coding RNA (ATRI_LNC001379)". The record is from RNAcentral. Lineage: Eukaryota; Viridiplantae; Streptophyta; Magnoliopsida; Amborellales; Amborellaceae.